This 149-nucleotide unclassified non-coding RNA is filed under the name uncultured Fusarium. RNAcentral's name for it is "sequence contains ITS1". Lineage: Eukaryota; Fungi; Ascomycota; Sordariomycetes; Hypocreales; Nectriaceae. The record is from RNAcentral.
CCGAGUUAUACAACUCCCAAACCCCUGUGAACCUACCUAUAACGUUGCUUCGGCGGGAACAGACGGCCCCGUGAAACGGGCCGCCCCCGCCGGGGACCCCCUAACCUAUGUUUCUAUAAUGUUUUUCUGAGUAAACCCAAAAUAAAUCA